UAAUACGAAGGUGGCAAGCGUUAUUCGGAUUUACUGGGCGUACAGGGAGCGUAGGCGGUUCGGUAAGCCCUCUGUGAAAUCUCCAGGCUUAACCUGGAAAAGUCGGAGGGGACUGCUGGGCUAGAGGACGGGAGAGGAGCGCGGAAUUCCCGGUGUAGCGGUGAAAUGCGUAGAGAUCGGGAGGAAGGCCGGUGGCGAAGGCGGCGCUCUGGAACGUUUCUGACGCUGAGGCUCGAAAGCGUGGGGAGCAAACAGGAUUAGAUACCCUGGUAGUCCACGCCUUAAACUAUGAAUACUAAGUGUCGGCGGUUUACCGCCGGUGCCGCAGCUAACGCAUUAAGUAUUCCGCCUGGGAAGUACGGCCGCAAGGUUGAAACUUAAAGGAAUUGACGG
RNAcentral lists this ribosomal RNA (393 nucleotides) under uncultured bacterium. RNAcentral describes it as "bacterial SSU rRNA". It matches the Rfam family "Bacterial small subunit ribosomal RNA", at positions 521 to 916 of the family's 1533-position model. The record is from RNAcentral.